GGAUCUCUUAAAGCUGUUCUCAGUUCGGACCGCAGUCUGCAACUCGACUGCACGAAGCUGGAAUCGCUAGUAAUCGCGGAUCAGCACGCCGCGGUGAAUACGUUCCCGGGCCUUGUACACACCGCCCGUCACACCAUGGAAGUCUGCAAUGCCCGAAGCCGGUGGCCUAACCACUUAUGUGGAAGGAGCCGUCUAAGGCAGGGCAGAUGACUGGGGUGAAGUCGUAACAAGGUAAC
RNAcentral lists this ribosomal RNA (236 nucleotides) under uncultured bacterium. Its description in RNAcentral is "partial 16S ribosomal RNA". It matches the Rfam family "Bacterial small subunit ribosomal RNA", at positions 1269 to 1500 of the family's 1533-position model. The record is from RNAcentral.